RNAcentral lists this ribosomal RNA (1483 nucleotides) under uncultured bacterium. Its description in RNAcentral is "bacterial SSU rRNA". It matches the Rfam family "Bacterial small subunit ribosomal RNA". The record is from RNAcentral.
AGAGUUUGAUCCUGGCUCAGAUUGAACGCUGGCGGCAGGCCUAACACAUGCAAGUCGAGCGGUAGCACAGAGAGCUUGCUCUCGGGUGACGAGCGGCGGACGGGUGAGUAAUGUCUGGGAAACUGCCUGAUGGAGGGGGAUAACUACUGGAAACGGUAGCUAAUACCGCAUAAUGUCGCAAGACCAAAGUGGGGGACCUUCGGGCCUCAUGCCAUCAGAUGUGCCCAGAUGGGAUUAGCUAGUAGGUGGGGUAACGGCUCACCUAGGCGACGAUCCCUAGCUGGUCUGAGAGGAUGACCAGCCACACUGGAACUGAGACACGGUCCAGACUCCUACGGGAGGCAGCAGUGGGGAAUAUUGCACAAUGGGCGCAAGCCUGAUGCAGCCAUGCCGCGUGUGUGAAGAAGGCCUUCGGGUUGUAAAGCACUUUCAGCGGGGAGGAAGGCGGUGAGGUUAAUAACCUCAUCGAUUGACGUUACCCGCAGAAGAAGCACCGGCUAACUCCGUGCCAGCAGCCGCGGUAAUACGGAGGGUGCAAGCGUUAAUCGGAAUUACUGGGCCUAAAGCGCACGCAGGCGGUCUGUCAAGUCGGAUGUGAAAUCCCCGGGCUUAACCUGGGAACUGCAUUCGAAACUGGCAGGCUAGAGUCUUGUAGAGGGGGGUAGAAUUCCAGGUGUAGCGGUGAAAUGCGUAGAGAUCUGGAGGAAUACCGGUGGCGAAGGCGGCCCCCUGGACAAAGACUGACGCUCAGGUGCGAAAGCGUGGGGAGCAAACAGGAUUAGAUACCCUGGUAGUCCACGCCGUAAACGAUGUCGAUUUGGAGGUUGUGCCCUUGAGGCGUGGCUUCCGGAGCUAACGCGUUAAAUCGACCGCCUGGGGAGUACGGCCGCAAGGUUAAAACUCAAAUGAAUUGACGGGGGCCCGCACAAGCGGUGGAGCAUGUGGUUUAAUUCGAUGCAACGCGAAGAACCUUACCUGGUCUUGACAUCCACAGAACUUUCCAGAGAUGGAUUGGUGCCUUCGGGAACUGUGAGACAGGUGCUGCAUGGCUGUCGUCAGCUCGUGUUGUGAAAUGUUGGGUUAAGUCCCGCAACGAGCGCAACCCUUAUCCUUUGUUGCCAGCGGUCCGGCCGGGAACUCAAAGGAGACUGCCAGUGAUAAACUGGAGGAAGGUGGGGAUGACGUCAAGUCAUCAUGGCCCUUACGACCAGGGCUACACACGUGCUACAAUGGCAUAUACAAAGAGAAGCGACCUCGCGAGAGCAAGCGGACCUCAUAAAGUAUGUCGUAGUCCGGAUUGGAGUCUGCAACUCGACUCCAUGAAGUCGGAAUCGCUAGUAAUCGUAGAUCAGAAUGCUACGGUGAAUACGUUCCCGGGCCUUGUACACACCGCCCGUCACACCAUGGGAGUGGGUUGCAAAAGAAGUAGGUAGCUUAACCUUCGGGAGGGCGCUUACCACUUUGUGAUUCAUGACUGGGGUGA